This 93-nucleotide ribosomal RNA is filed under the name Eyprepocnemis plorans. The record is from RNAcentral. Lineage: Eukaryota; Metazoa; Arthropoda; Insecta; Orthoptera; Acrididae.
AACGACCAUACCACGCUGAAACACGGUUACUCGUUCCGAUCACCGAAGUUAAACAACGUUGGGCCCGGUUAGUACUUAGAUGGGGGACCGCUU